GCCGCUGUAGCUUAACCCGGUAAAGCGGCUGGCUGUUAACCAGUAGAGUGGAGGUUCAAAUCCUCCCAGCGGCG
This 74-nucleotide transfer RNA is filed under the name Nitrososphaeria archaeon. RNAcentral's name for it is "tRNA-Asn". It matches the Rfam family "tRNA". Rfam says of the family: Transfer RNA (tRNA) molecules are approximately 80 nucleotides in length. Their secondary structure includes four short double-helical elements and three loops (D, anti-codon, and T loops). RNAcentral also lists the same sequence under 1 other name. Lineage: Archaea; Thermoproteati; Nitrososphaerota; Nitrososphaeria. The record is from RNAcentral.